AUCAAAAUUCUUUAUUGAUAUUUCUGUUUUAAUAAUGGUGGAAUAUUACAAGUUUAUAAUUGUUAUUUCUAGGAAAACUUGUUAGUUUAGAAGAUGAAAAUCAUCCAGAUUGAGUUGGUUCCGUGACAAGACAUGGGUCAUAAUUGUACAAAUCUGAAAAAAAGGAUGAUAUUGAGAGAAAACUAAGGGCUGACUAAAGAAGAAAAGUACAAUAUGAAGCCAUUCUUAACACGUCUGAAGCAGAACCUCAUCGGGUGAUUGAAACAGAUGUUUGAAUCAACAGUUUUAGUGUACAAACAUACAUCACGAUGGAUGACUUAUGCAACAAAUUUGAGUAGCUUAGUUUUGCAACAUCUAAAAUUAGUAAUUUCGCCUUAUUGCAGAUUACAUACCGUUUACACAAAUGACAGCUCUAGGCAAGUUUAAAAGAUUUGGCUUAUCGUUUUAAAGUGUCUUUUGCUACAGCCUUAACAACAUUUGAAGUAAUCAAUAAUGAUUUAUACAAAAGGUAUAAAACCUUAUAAAUAGAAUGGUACAAUCCAUCUACGAUGCUCUAAAAAAAUAUAACAUAUUGUUUUAAAAUGGCAUUUAGGAGUCGCAGUGUAUUAUUGAUUGUUACUCAAAUAUUUAUUUAUUUAUAACAUUAUAUUGUAAUUCUUAUUUUCACGAGUGUAAAUUGCAAAAUUAGCUUAUUGUUUAUAUAUCGUAAUAAACGAAUAUGUAGUAUAUACUGUUAUACUCCUUAACAAAAAUAUACAAUUGUCAAAUAAACAAUAAGAAAGA
This 783-nucleotide long non-coding RNA is filed under the name Sitophilus oryzae (rice weevil). RNAcentral's name for it is "uncharacterized LOC115886523, transcript variant X1". Lineage: Eukaryota; Metazoa; Arthropoda; Insecta; Coleoptera; Curculionidae. The record is from RNAcentral.